Molecule: long non-coding RNA, 403 nt
Organism: Cucumis melo (muskmelon)
Lineage: Eukaryota; Viridiplantae; Streptophyta; Magnoliopsida; Cucurbitales; Cucurbitaceae
Exons: 3
Source: RefSeq, a predicted model, not a curated record
CCACGAGCCGCGCCUGUCUGCGCCGCGAGCCGAGCCGGUCUUCAACCUCCAAGCCGAGCCGAUCCCUGUCCUUUUUCCAGCCGAGCCGCCAAGCCUAAUUUGGCUCCUUCCACCUAAUUUUUGGGACGUCUUGGACCAAGUAACUGCUGCAGUGUGGGAUUUCUUCAGUAGGGGCUCGAGCAUUGCAACCUCUUUCUAGGGUAAGUCAUUUCAACUGAGUUUGAACCGUUAGUCGUUGGUGACUUAAUUACGAAUUUCGGCGUAUUAAACAGUUAGGACCUCGUUGCUUGGAAAGCACACUUGCCUCGCGGUUAGAACUCGCCAAGUAAAUCUCCAAGUAGAGGACGAGGCAAGGGCAAAGGCAAGCUGGCGAGCGACCCGAAGUGACCGUGGCGAGCCAUAG